UGCUCCAUGGUGAAAUGGUAACACAGCGGACUUUGACUCCGUUAUUUUCUAGGUUCGAGCCCUAGUGAAGCAGCCA
This 76-nucleotide transfer RNA is filed under the name Caudoviricetes sp. RNAcentral's name for it is "tRNA-Gln". It matches the Rfam family "tRNA". From Rfam's summary of the family: Transfer RNA (tRNA) molecules are approximately 80 nucleotides in length. Their secondary structure includes four short double-helical elements and three loops (D, anti-codon, and T loops). Further hydrogen bonds mediate the characteristic L-shaped molecular structure. tRNAs have two regions of fundamental functional importance: the anti-codon, which is responsible for specific mRNA codon recognition, and the 3' end, to which the tRNAs corresponding amino acid is attached (by aminoacyl-tRNA synthetases). tRNAs cope with the degeneracy of the genetic code in two manners: having more than one tRNA (with a specific anti-codon) for a particular amino acid; and 'wobble' base-pairing, i.e. permitting non-standard base-pairing at the 3rd anti-codon position. The record is from RNAcentral. Lineage: Duplodnaviria; Heunggongvirae; Uroviricota; Caudoviricetes.